This 276-nucleotide ribosomal RNA is filed under the name uncultured Eubacteriales bacterium. RNAcentral's name for it is "uncultured Clostridiales bacterium partial 16S ribosomal RNA". The stretch from base 38 to 276 matches the Rfam family "Bacterial small subunit ribosomal RNA", at positions 100 to 339 of the family's 1533-position model. Lineage: Bacteria; Bacillati; Bacillota; Clostridia; Eubacteriales. The record is from RNAcentral.
AUUUCCUUCGGGACUGAUUAUUUUGUGACUGAGUGGCGGACGGGUGAGUAACGCGUGGGUAACCUGCCUUGUACAGGGGGAUAACAGUUGGAAACGGCUGCUAAUACCGCAUAAGCGCACAGAGCUGCAUGGCUCCGUGUGAAAAACUCCGGUGGUAUGGGAUGGGCCCGCGUCUGAUUAGGCAGUUGGUGAGGUAACGGCCCACCAAGGCGACGAUCCAUAGCCGACCGGAGAGGGUGACCGGCCACAUUGGGACUGAGACACGGCCCAAACUCC